GCAUUAGUAGUCUAGUGGUAGAAUAGUAUUUUGCCAUGGUAUAGACCUGGGUUUGAUUCCUGGCUUGGUGCA
Molecule: transfer RNA, 72 nt
Filed under: Ipomoea nil (Japanese morning glory)
Lineage: Eukaryota; Viridiplantae; Streptophyta; Magnoliopsida; Solanales; Convolvulaceae
Rfam family: tRNA
About the family: Transfer RNA (tRNA) molecules are approximately 80 nucleotides in length. Their secondary structure includes four short double-helical elements and three loops (D, anti-codon, and T loops). Further hydrogen bonds mediate the characteristic L-shaped molecular structure. tRNAs have two regions of fundamental functional importance: the anti-codon, which is responsible for specific mRNA codon recognition, and the 3' end, to which the tRNAs corresponding amino acid is attached (by aminoacyl-tRNA synthetases). tRNAs cope with the degeneracy of the genetic code in two manners: having more than one tRNA (with a specific anti-codon) for a particular amino acid; and 'wobble' base-pairing, i.e. permitting non-standard base-pairing at the 3rd anti-codon position.
Source: Rfam by way of RNAcentral